This 395-nucleotide ribosomal RNA is filed under the name uncultured bacterium. RNAcentral describes it as "bacterial SSU rRNA". It matches the Rfam family "Bacterial small subunit ribosomal RNA", at positions 505 to 898 of the family's 1533-position model. The record is from RNAcentral.
GUGUCAGCAGCCGCGGUAAUACGUAGGGGGCAAGCGUUGUCCGGAAUCAUUGGGCGUAAAGCGCGUGUAGGCGGCCCGGAAAGUCUGGUGUGAAAUCUUGGGGCUCAACCCCAAACUGUCGCCGGAUACUAUCGGGCUUGAGUCUGGAAGAGGAGUGUGGAAUUCCUGGUGUAGCGGUGGAAUGCGCAGAUAUCAGGAGGAACACCAAUGGCGAAGGCAGCACUCUGGUACAUGACUGACGCUGAGACGCGAAAGCGUGGGUAGCAAACAGGAUUAGAUACCCUGGUAGUCCACGCCGUAAACGAUGGAGGCUAGGUGUAGGAGGUGUCGACUCCUUCUGUGCCGAAGCUAACGCAUUAAGCCUCCCGCCUGGGGAGUACGGCCGCAAGGCUAAA